AUUUAACGUCUUGCUUUUUCUUCCUUUGUUUGUGAGAUGAACAUCUCCUAGGACUGUAGAGAGAGUUGACAUGCUCUUGAAGUUGCCUAACUCAGUGCUAGAUACACGCAGAGAUCAGAUAAUCAGAAGGAUUGACAAAUAAGUACAAAAAGAACAACUUGGAACUCUGCAGUCAUAAGUCAUUAAUGUCAAGUCCAAGUCCCAUGGAAUCAUUGUCCUCCAGAUUUGAUGUGCACAAGAAAUAUCUGGGUGUCAUAAGAAGAACUUUGUCCACUUCUCCUGAGACAGGGUUUCUCACUGGUCUGGAACCCUCCAAUUAAACUAGAGUGGUUG
Molecule: long non-coding RNA, 333 nt
Filed under: Mus caroli (Ryukyu mouse)
Lineage: Eukaryota; Metazoa; Chordata; Mammalia; Rodentia; Muridae
Description: lncRNA (MGP_CAROLIEiJ_G0003342.1)
Source: RNAcentral